GGAUUUCGGGUAGGGGGCGCCGGUCCGCUUCGGUGUGCACUGGCGGCCCAUACCUUCUUGUCGGGGAUGCGCUCUGGUAUUGAUUUAUCGGACGCAGUGUCGGCGCAGUUACUUUGAAAAAAUUAGAGUGUUCAAAGCAGGCUUUCGCUUGAAUACAUUAGCAUGGAAUAACAUGAUAGGACUCCGGUUCCAUUGUGUUGGUCUUCGGGACUGGAGUAAUGAUUAAGAGGGACAGUUGGGGGCAUUCGUAUUUCAUUGUCAGAGGUGAAAUUCUUGGAUUUAUGAAAGACGAACUUCUGCGAAAGCAUUUGCCAAGGAUGUUUUCAUUAAUCAAGAACGAAAGUUGAGGGCUCGAAGAUGAUUAGAUACCAUCGUAGUCUCAACCAUAAACGAUGCCGACUAGGGAUUGGCGGAUGUUACUUGAUGACUU
Molecule: ribosomal RNA, 430 nt
Filed under: uncultured prasinophyte
Lineage: Eukaryota; Viridiplantae; Chlorophyta
Description: SSU rRNA
Rfam family: Eukaryotic small subunit ribosomal RNA
Source: RNAcentral